This 90-nucleotide signal recognition particle RNA is filed under the name Enterobacter cloacae. RNAcentral describes it as "Bacterial small signal recognition particle RNA". It matches the Rfam family "Bacterial small signal recognition particle RNA". From Rfam's summary of the family: The signal recognition particle (SRP) is a universally conserved ribonucleoprotein involved in the co-translational targeting of proteins to membranes. Archaeal SRP consists of a 7S RNA and homologues of the eukaryotic SRP19 and SRP54 proteins. Lineage: Bacteria; Pseudomonadati; Pseudomonadota; Gammaproteobacteria; Enterobacterales; Enterobacteriaceae. RNAcentral also lists the same sequence under 5 other names. The record is from RNAcentral.
UUGGUUCUCCCGCAACGCUACUCUGUUCACCAGGUCAGGUCCGGAAGGAAGCAGCCAGGGCAGACGACGUGGGUGCCGGGAUGUAGCUGG